UUAGAAAAAUAUAGUAACUCAAAUAUAGACCUUAGAGUUCACAUCUAGCUGCAAGCAUCAGUUACUCUUGAGAGAGAUAGAAGAAAAGCCAAAAAGAUGGAAUUGUUUCAAAUAUCUCAAAGACCCAUCUGAGCUGCCACGCCGUGAUACAGAUUUUUUCAGCUCAUUAGAAAGAUAUAUCGGAUUCAUCUUCCAAAGAAGAACAAGAUCUUCAUAGCCUCAUUGCACAUAAAAUGAAGCGGAGGGAGUUACUAGAAAAGGAAAAGAGGGAGGUCAACUGAAAUUUCACCAAAAGGGUGGUUUUGCAAUUGGAAAUUUUUCAUUUGAGAGAUCUGCAGCAGAAAAAGACGGGCAAAACCACCCAUAGAAACUCCCCACAGCUCUCUGCUUUCACCACAGCCUCAGACUUCAACUAAUGAGAUUACCACCAUUUUCGUGUUUCCUUUUUGAAGAUCAGAUCUGUGUUAUAACUCAGGCAAAAAGAGUCCGACGCCGCCAUGGCUGCAAAUACCACCAAGGGAAACCUGAAGAAUGCCCUGCCAAAGUACGGGUCAGAUAAUCUCAAAUGCCUGAUUAAUAAGCUCAGAAUGGAAUGAAAUAAUCACAAAAUCAUCAUCGCCACUUUCAAGCCGUCGAUCAUACUCACCACGACUGGCAUAACUUGUCUCUAAACCAAAUAGACUAAUAACAGCUUGUUUGGAUGGUUGUUACCAUUGUAUUGUAUUAUUAUUUCAGAUAGGCAGAAUACAUAGAUAGCCCCUUAAACUUGUCAUGAAUUGUCAUUGAGACACUUCAACUAGACAGAUGCAAAAAGAGAUCCGAUGACAACAUGGCUGCAUAAACCACCAGAAAUCUGGGGGCAUGCCCUGCCAAGAUACGGUCCGGAUAAUCUCAAAUUCUAAUUUUUAGUUGUGGCAGAAGCUCGCAGGUUCGAUAUAUCCAAACAAUGAAUCAUGGAAAAGAUUCUGUUUUGGUACUUUCAAGCAAAUGCGACUCAGAUGUGUGUUAUGAUAAGGCAAAAGAGAAACCAACAAUCCCAUUGCUGCAAAACAACAGUUGCAUGUGUGAGAAGAUUCAAAACUCUCCAGGCAGGCCAUCCCGGGUUGCCACGCCAAGAUACGGGUUGGCUCAUCUCAAUGCCCAAAUCGGUUAGCCGAGACAUUAUCACUGCCACUUUAUGACCUUCCAUCAAUACCGUAAAAGAACACAGAGAAAAGACAGAGAUGUCAGUAUGCAACAACAACAACAACAACAAUAAACCAGUAUAAUCUCACGAGUGGGUCUGGGGAGGACAGCGAGUACACAGCCUUACUCUACCUUGUAGGGCAAAGAGGCUGUUUCCAAACAGAGAUGUCAGUAUAUAUAAUUAAAUCAUUUCUGCUGCUUCUGCUUUUGUCAUAAAGACAUAAACAAGGGCUGUUGGUUCUUUUUUUAAAAAAAAAAAAUAAUGGAGGAAAAAUCAAUGGCGAAACAGAGAGGGGCAACCACCCUUUCAAAGAAAACCCCAAACUCUCUGUUUUUGCCUCAUUUCUUUAAUUCUUCUGGGCUAACCUUUUCCCUUCUCAUAAUUGCAUACUUGUGAGGUCUCAAAAAUUAAGGGUUAGUUUCUUAAAGCUGAUUUUGGAAGCAAGGCCAAACAGGCUAUUACAUGGGCCUUUUCCUGAGGGCUCAGGUUUGCUGUAUUUUUGGUCAAAGCAAAUGAGAAGGCGACACUGCCAUAGCUGCAGACACCAGUUUGCUAGACAAAAGCCGUACUGGGUCGCCCUGCCAAGAUACGGGUCGGAUAUUUUCUCAAUGCCAUGAAUUGAACAUAGCCCAGAAACGAAAAGCAAAAAUCACAGCCCCUAUAUAUACAUCAGUAUUCAGUAGCAGCAACACAGAGAGGAGAAAGAGGAAGAGGAAGAGCAAUAUAAUAAGGGUCUGAUUGGAUGAUGAAUUUUUUUUCUUUUGGGUUUAAUUCAAAGGACUGUUGAUUUACAAUGGAGAAAUCGUAGGGAAUAACAGAGAGAAGCAACCAUCCUUUUACAGAAAAUCCCAAUCUCUCUGUUGCCUCAUUCUUCUCCUUUUCCCAGACACAAACCCAAAAAGAUUGGAACAAAGACCGUCAUGGCUGCAAGCAUCAGUUAGUCUUAUGAGAAAGGGAAAAAAACACACAAAAAUGGAUUCUUCUGCAAUAUCUCAAAGACCCAUCUGAGCUGCCAUGCCAAGAUUACAAAUUUUUCCCAGCUCAAUAGAUUUGUAAGUCCGAUUCAUCUUCCACAGAAGAAUAAAAUCUUCAUAGCCUCAUUCAGGGUAGAUCGGUGCACUAAGCUCCCACUAUGCGCGGGGUCCGCCGGUCCGGUGAUGGACCAGACCACAAGGGUCUAUUGUACGCAGUCUUACCCUGCAUUUUUUAAACGGUUUGAACCCGUGAUCUCCUGGUCACAUGCCAGCAACUUUACCGGCCACGCCAAGGCUCCUAUUCCUUCAUAGCCUCAUUGCAUCACAUAAAUUGGAAGGGAGGGAGUAAUAAGUAUUUUCACCAAAAGGGUGGUUUUAAAAACAGGCAUUUGAGCGAUCAUCGGCGGCGGACAAUUACCGAGGGGCAAAACCACCCAAUGAAACUUCCUACAGCUCUCUGCCUUGACCGCAGCCUCGAACUAACAAAUGAGUUUUUUUGUUAUUUUCCUGUUAAUCCAAGGGCAGCCUGGUGCACAAGACAACCCACGUUCACGAGGGUCCAGGGAGUCGCCACACUCAAGGAGUAUGAUGUAGACAGAUACCCUAAUGCAAGCAUCAAUAGCUAUGAAAGCUUUCACAGCUCGAACUCGUGACCGAUAGGUCACACGAGGAGAACUUACAAGUUACUCCAAGACUCUCCUUCCUAUUUCCUGUUAAUCCAAAUCAAAGAAAAGAUUAUCUUUUUUUUCUUUUCUUGCAAAUGGGGCACAGAUAUGUUACUCCAAGACUCCCGUUCCUAUUUUCCUGUUAAUCCAAAUCAUAGAAAAGAUUAUCUUUUUUUCUUUUCUUGCAAAUGAGGCUCGGAUAUGUUAUGACAAGGCAAAGAGAAGCCAGCUAUGCCAUGGCUGCAAAACACCAGUUGCAAGUGAGACAGAAAUCUCAAUCACAGGCCACACCGGGUUGGCACGCCAAGAUACGGGUCCAUUCAUCUCUAUACCCAAAUAAGUUAGCCCAGAUACAAGAAACAUCAUCAUCACUGCCUCUUAUGUAACUUCCAUCAGCAACAUAAACACACACACACACACAAAAGUAAACACAGAUUUCACUGGAAAAAAGUUACUUUUUUCAGGAAUUUUAAAAUUCUUAUGUCCAAACAUUGUCUGCUUCUUCUUUUGUCAUAAACAAGGGCUGUUGUCUUUUUAAAUGGAGGAAAAUCAACGGCGGAACAGAGAGGGGCAACCACCCUUCAAAUGAAAAUCCCAAUACUCUCUGUUUUGCCUCAUUUCUUUCUGGGCUAAUCUUUUUGCAUAUUUAGGGGAAAUUCUCAUGGAUUUUUCACCUGAGAAUUUCAACAUUCAACGGAAAAGAGCCUGUAAGUUUGCACUUAAGAAAAUAACCUUCCAAUUGAGGCUCAGAUCUGUAAUAUUAAAGCUAGGGCAAGAGAUUGGAGACACCACCAUGGCUGCAAAUACCGGUUGCAAGUCGUCACCGUCCCGGUCGCCCCGCCAAGAUACGGGUCCAAUUGUUCUCUUCCCUAAUCGAUUUGUUCAGAGACAGAAGAAAAAAUAUCAUCACAGACUCAUAUUUUUGCUACAAUUAAUAUUAUUAUUAUUGAUUCGCUUUUUGGGAGUGAGGAUUUGGAGAUAGAGUAGAGGGGUCGUUUGGAUACAGUUUACCGCAUUAGGGCCUUUUUUGGCAAAAAUGAAAUCACAGGUAUUGUAGAGAGGAGCAACUGCCUUUGAGCUUCCCUCUACUCUCUGCAACCCUCAUUCUUUGUCUCUAAACCAAAUAGACUAAUAACAUCUUGUAUUGUAUACUUAUUGUUAUUUCAGAUAGGCAGAAUACAUAGAUAGCCCCUCAAACUUGUCAUGAAUUGUCAUUGAGACACUUCAACUCGACAGAUGCAAAAAGAGAUCCAAAGACGCCAUGGCUGCAUAAACCAACAGAAAUCUGGGGGCAUGCUCCGCCAAGAUACGGUCCGGAUAAUCUCAAAUUCUAAUUUUUACAACUCUAUCGGAAACAACAUCUCUAUCUUCACAAGAGUAGGGUUAAGGUCUGCACACACACUACCCUUCCCAGUCUCCACUUGUGGGAUUUCACUGGGUAUAUUGUUGUUGUUGUAAUAGAAAGAUAUCUAAUUCAUAUUCCACAGAAAAACAAAAUCUUCAUAGCCUCAUCGCACAUAAAAUAAAACCGAGAGAGUAACAAGAAAAGGAAACUAGCAAGGUCAUAUGUAUUUUCACCAAAAAGGUGGUUUCGUAGUUGUAAAAGUUUUUCAUUGGAGCGAUCAUUGGCAGCGCAGAAUGACAGAGGGGCAAAACCACCCAUUGAAAACCCCCACAGCUCUCUGCUUUCACCGCAGCCUCAGACUUAAACUAAACUAAUGAGAUUUGCAAAAAACUUGCGCAACAAAAUAUAAAUAGUGACCUCAGAUUCCUAUUUGUGCAAAUCACCCCUGCUUUGGUCCAACCGGGUAGAUCUGAUUAUGGUUUUGAGGCUCAGAUCUGUGUUAUAAGUCAAGCAAAAGGAGAUCCGACGGCGCCAUGGCUGCAAAAAACCACCAGAAAUCUGGGGGCAAGCCCUGCCAAGAUACGCGUCAAAAUCAUCUCAAAUGCCCAAUUGAUAAGCUCAGAAGGGAAUAGAAUAUUGACAAAAAAUCAUCAUCGCCUCUUUCAAGCAGUCAAUCAUACUAACCAACACUGGCUACAAGUUAAAUACUUUGAAAAAACUGGAUAUACCUUAAAUAGCAAGGUGAAAACUGGCCAUUCCAUGAAAUUUUUACAGGGUUGUUGGGAUUGUUACAGUAAUGGAGAAAUCAUGGGCUAAUACAAAGAGAGGCAACCACCCUUUCAACAGAAAAUCCUAAACUCUCUGAAGCCUCAUUCUCGUUCUCCUGAGCUUUUGUUUUGUUACAUCUCCAUAACAGUUCUUUCUACUACCCUGACAGCUGUAAAUAUAAAUCAUUUCUUGUAUAUACUAUCUUUCUUUCAUUAGGAAUUAGGAGUGAGUCAUUAGUGAAAGCUUUCGGGUAACCUCAGAUUAAUGAGGCAAAACCAAGGAGAAGAGCGAAAACCAAAAAUUCUUGUACAUAUUUCGCUUUCUUUCUUUAGGAAUUAGGAGUGAGUCAUUAGUGAAAGCUUCCGGGGUCAGCUCAGAUUAAUGGGGUAAAACCAAGGAGAAGAGCGAAAACACUCAAAAGUAAAAAUGCUCAGAUUCGCCUUUCCUCGGACAAAAACCAAAAAUGCUUUGGUAAAACCACCAUGGCUGCAAGCAUCAGUUAGCCUUAAGAGACACGGAAGAAGCACCAAAGAAAUGGAACAUUUUCCAAUAUCUCACAGACUCAUCUGAGCUGCCAUGCCAAGUUACAGUUUUUUCCCAGCCCAAUAGAAAUAUAUGUCUUGAUUCAUCUUUCACAGAAGAACAAAAUCUUCAUUGCAUCAUUGCAUCACAUAAAAUGAAACAGGAGUGACAAGAAAGGAAAAUAGAGAGGUUAUAUGUAUUUUUACCAAAAGGCUGGUUUUGGAAUCGGAAAAUAUUUUCACUCGAGUGAUCAUCAGCAUCAGAGAAUGACAGAAAGGGGCAAAACCACUAAUUGAAACUCCCCACAGCCCUCUGCUUUCACAACAGCCUCAGACUUAAACUAAUGAGAUCUUUGCUAUUUUCAUAUGAGGCUCAUGUCUCACUAUGAUCAGGCAUUGAGUUUCUCAAAACUGCCAUGGCUGCAAUCUCCUCCAGAUUGCCCUGCCAAGAUACGAGUUUAAGGACAUCUCAAUGCAAAUCAAUAACGCCAUUGGCAAGAGUCAUAUCAUCACUGCCUCAAAAUGUUCACUUUUACCUUUAUCUUUAGUAUGAUCCUCGUUGUUUGGGUGUUAAUGCAGCCACAUAGCAGCGAGAACAAAAGAAUGGUAGCAGCAACAGAAACAGCAACAACAACAGCAGAUCAACAACAACAUGCAUCUCUCGAAGCUAGAUUUACAGAAAGAACUAAGCACUGUUAAUUGCUUCCAGCAAGAAAUCAUGAGCUUACCAGCAAAACUGAACGAAUGAAUAAAUAAAUAAAUCAUAUUUCUCACUGAUGUCUCAUUCUAUGACUCUCUCUGUUUGGCCAUUGAGGGCUCAGAUUUACUGUUUUGAUCAAAGUAAUAGAGAAGGCGAUGUCGCCAUGGCUGCAGACCAGCUUGCUAUACGACAGACAUACUGGGUCGCAUUGCCAAGAUACGGGUCAGGUAUCUUCUCAAUGCCAUGACUGAACAUAGCCCAGAAAGUAAAGCAAUCUUCAUAGCGCCUUUACAACAUCAGUAGCAGCAGCACAAAAAGAAGAGGAAGAGGAAGAGGAAGAGCAACAUAAUAGUGUGUGUUUAGAUUAAGGAUUUCAUUUUUUUCUUUUUUCUUGUUUAUUUGAAAGGGCUGUUGUUUUUGGUUAUAAAUGGAAAAAUCAUGGGCAUAGUGGAGAGGGGCAACCACCCUUUACAGAAAAUCCCAGUCUCUCUGAUGCCUCAUUCUUCUAUAUUUCUAGGCUAUGCUCAACUGAUACUGAAACAAGAUGGUGAUACAUUAGGACUGCAAGAUGCUUUGCAACUUGUAGCAGAAAAUUGUCGGUUUGACAUACCCCAACAUUGGAUCAUGGAAAAGACUCUGUUUAUUUUCUGAAAAGCAAAUGGGGCUCAGAUGUGUGUUUUGGUAAGACAAAGAGAAGCCAGCUACACCAUGGCUGCAAACAAUCGAUUGCAUGUGAAAGAGUAGCCUCAAAUCACAGCCCAUGCCAAGCCAAGAAAAGGGUCAAAUUGUCUCUAUGCCCUAAUGAUUUAUAGCACAAAUAAACAAGUACAAUAACUGCCUCUUUCAGAAUGUUGACUCUUUCAUUCAUUUCAUGUAAGUGUGGAAGUUUUGGACUAAGCUCAUACUAAGAAUCCAGUAAUGCCUAUCGCAAAGGCGCCAGAUGUAUGCUUUCUUGGUUUUCUUUGAGGAAAGAGGGCUGUUGGUUUUAUUAAAGAAGAAAUCAUAGGACAAAACAGAGGGGGCAACCACCCUCCUAGAACUCCCUCUUACCCCUGUUUGCCUCAUUCUUCCUUCUGGCAAAGUAGAGAUGAUAAUAACAAAGAUUUUGAGGCUCAGAUCUGUACUCCAUCUCAUGCACCGCCAUUGCUACAAAUCCCAUUAUCGGGCUGCCGCGCCAAGAUACGGCCUAUCAACUCCUGAUUCCAUGAAGCUCGGGAAAAAAUCAAUCACCACAGCCCCGUUAUAGACCUUCCCUUGAACUUAAGGGACCAUUGAGGUCUUUUUUAUCACCUCAUUUUAAUUUCUUCUCCAUAAUUUUUUUGUGUAGCUUUUCAAGGUAACAAUACAAUACAAUGAGAACAACCAUCCAAACAGGGUGUUAGUGUACAGACAGAUAAAUGCAUAUCCAACUGGAUUGGUCAUUCCACCAUCACUCGAUUAUAGAGGGUUGGAGCCCUCUUGAUGCGAUGAUAAAAUGGCUAGUAUUCAAGGCUAGUCCCAAGAAACCAAGCUAAAUGGCUAUCCCAAUAAGAAGAUGAAGCCUGAUCAGGCCAAAAAUGAAAGCAAUCGAAGGAAGGGGUAGAGCAUGUUCUAUUUUUCCGAAUCUUAAAAGAUGAAAAUAGAGCAGAUUCAGGAUUUGAACUUUAUUUCUACAACCCAUUUUGAGUUCCUGGGUUUGCAAUCUAAUAGUUGUGGCAGAAGGCCACAGGUUCGACAUAUCCCAACAUCGAAUCAUGGAAAAGAUUCUAUUUUUUGUACUUUCAAGCAAAUGGGGUUCAGAUGUGUGUUAUGAUAAGGCAAAAGAGAAACCAACAACGCCAUGGCUGCGAAACACCGGUUGCAUGUGUGAGAGAAGAUUCAAAACUCUCAAUCACAGGCCAUACCGGGUUGCCACACCAAGAUACGGGUCGGCUCAUCUCAAUGCCCAAAUCGGUUAGCCGGGAUAUAGAAACAUCAUCAUCACUGCCUCUUUAUGUACCUUCCAUCAACACGGUAAAAUAGCACACAUAGGAAAAACAGAAAUGUUAGUAUACAACAACAACUACUAAAGGGCACCCGGUGCAGUAAGCUAGCGCUAUGCGCGGGUCCGGAAAGGGCCGGACCACAAGGGUCUAUCCUACGUAGCCUUACACUAUUUCUGCAAGAUCUCGAACCGUAAACUCUUGAUCACAUGGCAUCUAACUUUACCAGUUAAGUCAAGGCUCGAACAGAAAUGCUAGCAUAUAUAACUUAAAUCAUUUCUGUUGCUUCUGCUUUUGUCAUAAAGACAUAAAAAGGGCUGUUGGUACUUUUUUUCUCUUUUUUUUUUAAUAAUGGAGGAAAAUCAAUGGUGAAACAGAGAGGGGCAACCACCCUAACAAAGAAAAUCCCAAACUCUCUAUUUUUGCCUCAUUUCUUUAAAUUCUUCUGGGCUAACCUUUACCCUUUUCAUAAUUGCAGACUUGUGAGGUCUCAAAAAAUAAGGGUUAGUUUCUUCAAUCUAAUAAGCUGAUUUUAGCCAAACAGGCUAUUACACGGACCUGUUCGUGAGGGCUCAGAUUUGCUGUAUUUUUUGUCAAAGCAAAAGAGAAGGCGACGCCGCCAUGGCUGCAAACACCAGUUAGCUAUACAAGAGCCAUACCGGGUUGCCCCGCCAAGAUACGGGUCGGAUAUUUUCUCAAUGCCAUGAAUUGAACAUAGCCAGAAAUGGAAAAAGCAAUCAUCACAGCCCCGUUACAACAUCAGUAUUCAGUAGCAGCAGCACAAAGCAGAGGAGGAAAAGGAAUAUAUAUUAGGGGUGUGUUUGGAUGAUUUUUUUUGUUUGUUUUUUUGGUUUAAUUGAAAGGGCUGUUGAUUUUUAAUGGAGAAAUCACAGGUAUAACAGAGAGGGGCAACCACCCUUUUCAUAGAAAAUCCCAAUCUCUCUGUUGCCUCAUUCUUCUUCAUUUCUAAGGCUAUGCUCAAAGCUAUUUUCUGGUUGAAGCGUCAGCAUAAAUAGGGCAAAAC
Molecule: long non-coding RNA, 9144 nt
Filed under: Nicotiana tabacum (common tobacco)
Lineage: Eukaryota; Viridiplantae; Streptophyta; Magnoliopsida; Solanales; Solanaceae
Description: long non-coding RNA (NTAB_LNC015284)
Source: RNAcentral